This 915-nucleotide ribosomal RNA is filed under the name unidentified microsporidian S1. Its description in RNAcentral is "bacterial SSU rRNA". It matches the Rfam family "Microsporidia small subunit ribosomal RNA". The record is from RNAcentral. Lineage: Eukaryota; Fungi; Microsporidia.
GUGCCAGCAUCCGCGGUAAUACCAGCUCCAGGGGCGUCUACGAUGAUUGCUGCGAUUAAGACGUUCGUAGUCUGGGGGCUAUAUUUUUCUGUAAUGGGCCGGCUUGAGGGGCGCGGAGGAAGGAUACUGGCUGUCUGAAGGAGCGACCGGGGGCCGGCUUAUUAUGUGACGAGGGGGGAAAUCUGAAGRCUCAUGUAGGAGGRGCAAGGGCGAAAGCACUGGCCAAGGGCGUAUCUGUUGAUCAAGGACGUAGGCUCGAGGUUCGAAUACGAUUAGAUACCGUAGUAGUUCGAGCAGUUAACGAUGCCGACUGUGCGACACGGAUGUGUUGUGCGCGAGAAAUUGAGUAGGGCUUUGGGGAGGGUACGCGCGCAASACUAAAUUUAAACGAAAUUGACGGAAGAAUAUCACAGGGAGUGGAGUGUGCGGCUUUCUAAUUKGACUCAACGCGGGAAAGCUUACCAGGCCCGAGAGCCGCACGAGUGAGUACACGAUAGGCUUGAGAGUGGUGCAUGGCCGUUAUCGACGAGUGGAGUGAUCUUUUGGUUAAUUCCGGUAAUUUGUGAUCUCSCUUUGAUGGGCGCUGUAAGGCGCAUGUGACGGGAUAAGAACAGGUCAGUGAUGCCCUUAGACGGUCUGGGCUGCACGCGCACUACACUACUGCCCCUAGUUGUGGAGRGAUGGAAUGGGCAGUACAAGGGAUUGUGCGCUGGAAUGCGCGCAUGAACGUGGAAUUGCUAGUAAUCGCAGGCUCAGUAGGAUGCGAAGAAUGUGUCACUGUUCUUUGUACACACCGCCCGUCGUUAUCGAAGACGUUGUUGGUAAUGAGGGAAUCUGAAUGACCGAAUUAUCAAUGAUGGAUCUGGUACAAGUCGUAACAAGGCAACUGUAGGAGAACCUGUAGUUGGAUCACGA